RNAcentral lists this ribosomal RNA (253 nucleotides) under uncultured bacterium. RNAcentral's name for it is "partial 16S ribosomal RNA". It matches the Rfam family "Bacterial small subunit ribosomal RNA", at positions 524 to 776 of the family's 1533-position model. The record is from RNAcentral.
UACGUAGGGAGCAAGCGUUGUCCGGAAUCAUUGGGCGUAAAGCGCGCGUAGGCGGCUCGAUCAGUCUGUUGUGAAAGUCAAAGGCUCAACCUUUGAAUGCCGAUGGAUACUGUCGAGCUAGAGUCCGGAAGAGGCGGGUGGAAUUCCUGGUGUAGCGGUGAAAUGCGCAGAUAUCAGGAAGAACACCCGUGGCGAAGGCGGUUCUCUGGGACGGUACUGACGCUGAGACGCGAAAGCGUGGGGAGCGAACAGG